GAGGAAUAUUGGUCAAUGGGCGAUAGCCUGAACCAGCCAUGUCGCGUGCAGGAAGACGGCCCUACGGGUUGUAAACUGCUUUUGUACGGGAAGAACUGUGCCCACGUGUGGGCACUUGCCGGUACCGUACGAAUAAGGAUCGGCUAACUCCGUGCCAGCAGCCGCGGUAAUACGGAGGAUCCGAGCGUUAUCCGGAUUUAUUGGGUUUAAAGGGUGCGUAGGCGGGCUCAUAAGUCAGCGGUGAAAUUUUGCGGCUCAACCGUAACACUGCCGUUGAAACUGUUUGCCUUGAAUUUAGUUGAAGUGGGCGGAAUGUGUUGUGUAGCGGUGAAAUGCUUAGAUAUAACACGGAACACCGAUUGCGAAGGCAGCCCACUAAGCUAUGAUUGACGCUGAUGCACGAAAGCGUGGGUAGCGAAC
Molecule: ribosomal RNA, 420 nt
Filed under: uncultured bacterium
Lineage: Bacteria
Description: bacterial SSU rRNA
Rfam family: Bacterial small subunit ribosomal RNA
Source: RNAcentral